Molecule: transfer RNA, 71 nt
Filed under: Rattus norvegicus (Norway rat)
Lineage: Eukaryota; Metazoa; Chordata; Mammalia; Rodentia; Muridae
Rfam family: tRNA
About the family: Transfer RNA (tRNA) molecules are approximately 80 nucleotides in length. Their secondary structure includes four short double-helical elements and three loops (D, anti-codon, and T loops).
Source: Rfam by way of RNAcentral
GGGGAUUUAGCUCAGUGGUAGAGCGCUUGCCUAGGAAGUGUGCAAGGCCCUGGGUUCGGUCCCCAGCUCCA